AGCAGUCGCCGCGGUAAUACGGAGGGGGCUAGCGUUGUUCGGAAUUACUGGGCGUAAAGCGCACGUAGGCGGCUUGGUAAGUUAGAGGUGAAAGCCCGGAGCUCAACUCCGGAAUUGCCUUUAAGACUGCCGAGCUAGUAGGUGAGAGAGGUAAGUGGAAUUCCGAGUGUAGAGGUGAAAUUCGUAGAUAUUCGGAAGAACACCAGUGGCGAAGGCGGCUUACUGGCUCAUUCUAGACGCUGAGGUGCGAAAGCGUGGGGAGCAAACAGGAUUAGAUACCCCGGUAGUCCCUGUCUCUUAUAC
This 303-nucleotide ribosomal RNA is filed under the name uncultured bacterium. RNAcentral's name for it is "partial 16S ribosomal RNA". It matches the Rfam family "Bacterial small subunit ribosomal RNA", at positions 507 to 807 of the family's 1533-position model. The record is from RNAcentral.